CCUACGGGGGGCAGCAGUAGGGAAUCUUCGGCAAUGGACGAAAGUCUGACCGAGCAACGCCGCGUGAGUGAAGAAGGUUUUCGGAUCGUAAAACUCUGUUGGUAGAGAAGAACGUUGGUGAGAGUGGAAAGCUCAUCAAGUGACGGUAACUACCCAGAAAGGGACGGCUAACUACGUGCCAGCAGCCGCGGUAAUUCGUAGGUCCCGAGAGUUUUCCGGAUUUGUUGGGCGGAAAGCGAGCGCAGGUGGUGUAGUAAGUCGGGUGUAAAAGGCAGUGGCUCAACCAUUGUAUGCAUUGGAAACUGGUAGACUUGAGUGCAGGAGAGGAGAGUGGAAUUCCAUGUGUGGCGGUGAAAUGCGUAGAUAUAUGGAGGAACAACAGUGGCGAAAGCGGCUCGCUGGCCUGUAACUGACACUGAGGCUCGAAAGCGUGGGGAGCAAACAGGGUUAGAUACCCCAGUAGUC
Molecule: ribosomal RNA, 465 nt
Filed under: uncultured Lactococcus sp.
Lineage: Bacteria; Bacillati; Bacillota; Bacilli; Lactobacillales; Streptococcaceae
Description: bacterial SSU rRNA
Rfam family: Bacterial small subunit ribosomal RNA
Source: RNAcentral